GACAAACGCUGGCGGCGUGCCUAAUACAUGCAAGUCGAGCGGACUUUAUCCUUCGGGGUAAGGUUAGCGGCGGACGGGUGAGUAACACGUAGGCAACCUGCCUGUAAGACCGGGAUAACAUUCGGAAACGGAUGCUAAUACCGGAUAUGCAACUUGGCUGCAUGGCUGAGUUGGGAAAGACGGCGCAAGCUGUCACUUACAGAUGGGCCUGCGGUGCAUUAGCUAGUUGGUGAGGUAACGGCUCACCAAGGCGACGAUGCAUAGCCGACCUGAGAGGGUGAUCGGCCACACUGGGACUGAGACACGGCCCAGACUCCUACGGGAGGCAGCAGUAGGGAAUCUUCCGCAAUGGACGAAAGUCUGACGGAGCAACGCCGCGUGAGUGAUGAAGGUUUUCGGAUCGUAAAGCUCUGUUGCCUGGGAAGAACAGCCAGGAGAGUAACUGCUCUUGGAAUGACGGUACCUGAGAAGAAAGCCCCGGCUAACUACGUGCCAGCCGCCGCGGUAA
RNAcentral lists this ribosomal RNA (508 nucleotides) under uncultured bacterium. RNAcentral describes it as "partial 16S ribosomal RNA". It matches the Rfam family "Bacterial small subunit ribosomal RNA", at positions 28 to 523 of the family's 1533-position model. The record is from RNAcentral.